RNAcentral lists this ribosomal RNA (440 nucleotides) under uncultured bacterium. RNAcentral's name for it is "partial 16S ribosomal RNA". It matches the Rfam family "Bacterial small subunit ribosomal RNA", at positions 338 to 795 of the family's 1533-position model. The record is from RNAcentral.
CCUACGGGAGGCUGCAGUGGGGAAUAUUGCACAAUGGGGGAAACCCUGAUGCAGCGACGCCGCGUGAGUGAAGAAGUAUUUCGGUAUGUAAAGCUCUAUCAGCAGGGAAGAAAAUGACGGUACCUGAUUAAGAAGCCCCGGCUAACUACGUGCCAGCAGCCGCGGUAAUACGUAGGGGGCAAGCGCUAUCCGGAUUUACUGGGUGUAAAGGGAGCGUAGACGGCAGCACAAGUCUGGAGUGAAAUGCCGGGGCUUAACCCCGGAACUGCUUUGGAAACUGUGCAGCUAGAGUGCAGGAGAGGUAAGUGGAAUUCCUAGUGUAGCGGUGGAAUGCGUAGAUAUUAGGAGGAACACCAGUGGCGAAGGCGGCUUACUGGACUGUAACUGACGUUGAGGCUCGAAAGCGUGGGGAGCAAACAGGAUUAGAUACCCGAGUAGUC